CCUACGGGGGGCAGCAGUGAGGAAUAUUGCCCAAUGGGGGAAACCCUGAUGCAGCGACGCCGCGUGAGUGAAGAAGUAUUUAGGUAUGUAAAGCUCUAUCAGCCGGGAAGAAAAUGACGGUACCUGACUAAGAAGCCCCGGCUAACUCCGUGCCAGCAGCCGCGGUAAUACGUCGGGGGCAAGCGUUAUCCGGAUUUACUGGGUUUAAAGGGAGGGUAGACGGCCAGACAAGUCAGAAGGGAAAGCGCAGGGCUCAACCCUGGGACUGCUUUUGAAACUGCCGGGCUGGAGUGCAGGAGAGGUAAGCGGAAUGCCUGGUGUAGCGGUGAAAUGCGUAGAGAUUAGGAGGAACACCAGUGGCGAAGGCGGCUUACUGGACUGUAACUGACGUUGAGGCUCGAAAGCGUGGGGAGCAAACAGGAUUAGAUACCCCAGUAGUC
Molecule: ribosomal RNA, 440 nt
Filed under: uncultured bacterium
Lineage: Bacteria
Description: partial 16S ribosomal RNA
Rfam family: Bacterial small subunit ribosomal RNA
Source: RNAcentral